This 293-nucleotide ribosomal RNA is filed under the name uncultured bacterium. RNAcentral describes it as "partial 16S ribosomal RNA". It matches the Rfam family "Bacterial small subunit ribosomal RNA", at positions 333 to 618 of the family's 1533-position model. The record is from RNAcentral.
GGAGGCCUACGGGAGGCAGCAGUAGGGAAUCUUCCACAAUGGGCGAAAGCCUGAUGGAGCAACGCCGCGUGGGUGAAGAAGGUCUUCGGAUCGUAAAACCCUGUUGUUAGAGAAGAAAGUGCGUGAGAGUAACUGUUCACGUUUCGACGGUAUCUAACCAGGAAGCCACGGCUAACUACGUGCCAGCAGCCGCGGUAAUACGUAGGUGGCAAGCGUUAUCCGGAUUUAUUGGGCGUAAAGAGAACGCAGGCGGUCUUUUAAGUCCGAUGUGAAAGCCUUCGGCUUAACCGGAG